Long non-coding RNA from Hylaeus volcanicus, 650 nucleotides. RefSeq lists it as uncharacterized. The transcript is spliced from 3 exons. The record is from RefSeq and is a predicted model, not a curated record. NCBI's taxonomy places the organism in Eukaryota, Metazoa, Arthropoda, Insecta, Hymenoptera, Colletidae.
GUGACCUUCUGCAACGUUCCUGAAGAACUAUUACUUGCAAAGGACCAAGCCUGGACGAUUUCUCAGGACAGAGUGAUGUUUAAUUCAAGGAGCCCGCGAAGGAGCCAUGUUUCCUAAGAGCCGCGCUUUAUCGAUACAACAUGAAGUCAUCAAUGCCCCAAACACACAGCGUGCAACGUAUCAUUACGGCGCCUCGCUUCUGGCGGAACGUUUUACGUCGUUCUAGCCCAAGGAACGCGUAGAAAAUGUGGAAAAUUGUUAUCCUGAUAGUCCACGACGUAACGUGUCGUUUUAUACAUAACGUAAUUACGAGCUCCUGUGAACUUCCUGAAGUUUAUUAUAGAAGUGAAUCGCUUUCAUCUACGAUAAAAUUGUUUCAACAAUGUCAACUGAAUUAUGUACCUUCCUACGGCAAUGUACAGUUUGAGGAUGUGCGAGAGGAUUUGGUGUCCUCUUAAAUUGAAGUAUGAGGAAGUAGUAGAGAUAAAUUAUUAUAAUAGCAUCUGAUUAACACUAGGUUCACGGAACACGGUCACUUUGACUCAUUUCAAAUUUUGACAAGGUUUUAUAGAAACCGUUUAUAUUGUUUACCAAGUAUUCAUGCUGAAUGUUACCAGCAUUUUAAUUUUAGUAAAUGAAGUUUAUUUAUU